This 1001-nucleotide ribosomal RNA is filed under the name Candona candida. Its description in RNAcentral is "SSU rRNA". It matches the Rfam family "Eukaryotic small subunit ribosomal RNA", at positions 421 to 1448 of the family's 1831-position model. Lineage: Eukaryota; Metazoa; Arthropoda; Ostracoda; Podocopida; Candonidae. The record is from RNAcentral.
GGAGGCAGCAGGCACGCAAAUUACCCAAUCCCGGCUCGGGGAGGUAGUGACGAAAAAUAACAAUACGGGACUCAUCCGAGGCCCCGUAAUUGGAAUGACUACAAUUUAAAUCCUUUAAGAAGGAUCCAUUGGAGGGCAAGUCUGGUGCCAGCAGCCGCGGUAAUUCCAGCUCCAAUAGCGUAUAUUAAAGUUGCUGCAGUUAAAAAGCUCGUAGUUGGAUCUCAGUUACAGGCAGGUGGUUCACUUUACAGUGCUACUACCUGAACUGAACUUGAUUGCUGGAUCUCUUGGGUGCCCUUCACUGGGUGCCCCUUGAGACCAGAAGGUUUACUUUGAGAAAAUUAGAGUGCUCAAAGCAGGCGAAUGCCUGAAUAGUUGUGCAUGGAAUAAUGAAAUAUGGCCUCGGUACUGUUUUGUUGGUUCACGGUGCUCGAGGUAAUGGUUGAAAGGGACUGACGGGGGCAUUCGUAUUGCGACGUUAGAGGUGAAAUUCUUAGAUCGUCGCAAGACGGACUACUGCGAAAGCAUUUGCCAAGAAUGUCUUCAUUAAUCAAGAACGAAAGUCAGAGGUUCGAAGGCGAUCAGAUACCGCCCUAGUUCUGACCUUAAACGAUGCUAACUGGCGAUCCGGUGGGGGUAUUUAAAUGACCCCCCGGGCAGCUUCUGGGAAACCAAAGUUUUUGGGUUCCGGGGGAAGUAUGGUUGCAAAGCUGGAACUUAAAGGAAUUGACGGAAGGGCACCACCAGGAGUGGAGCCUGUGGCUUAAUUUGACUCAACACGGGAAACCUCACCAGGCCCAGACACUAGAAGGAUUGACAGAUUGAGAGCUCUUUCUUGAUUUGGUGGAUGGUGGUGCAUGGCCGUUCUUAGUUGGUGGAGUGAUUUGUCUGGUUAAUUCCGAUAACGAACGAGACUUUAGCCUACUAAAUAGAUGGCGAAUACUGGUAGGUUCGCAUCAUCUUCUUAGAGGGACAAGGCAGCUUCAAGCUGCAUGAGAAAA